UAAUGGCUUACCAAGGCGACGACGGGUAGCCGGCCUGAGAGGGUGACCGGCCACACUGGGACUGAGACACGGCCCAGACUCCUACGGGAGGCAGCAGUGGGGAAUAUUGCACAAUGGGCGCAAGCCUGAUGCAGCGACGCCGCGUGAGGGAUGACGGCCUUCGGGUUGUAAACCUCUUUCAGUAGGGAAGAAGCGAAAGUGACGGUACCUGCAGAAGAAGCGCCGGCUAACUACGUGCCAGCAGCCGCGGUAAUACGUAGGGCGCAAGCGUUAUCCGGAAUUAUUGGGCGUAAAGAGCUCGUAGGCGGUUUGUCGCGUCUGCCGUGAAAGUCCGGGGCUCAACUCCGGAUCUGCGGUGGGUACGGGCAGACUAGAGUGAUGUAGGGGAGACUGGAAUUCCUGGUGUAGCGGUGAAAUGCGCAGAUAUCAGGAGGAACACCGAUGGCGAAGGCAGGUCUCUGGGCAUUAACUGACGCUGAGGAGCGAAAGCAUGGGGAGCGAACAGGAUUAGAUACCCUGGUAGUCCAUGCCGUAAACGUUGGGCACUAGGUGUGGGGGACAUUCCACGUUUUCCGCGCCGUAGCUAACGCAUUAAGUGCCCCGCCUGGGGAGUACGGCCGCAAGGCUAAAACUCAAAGGAAUUGACGGGGGCCCGCACAAGCGGCGGAGCAUGCGGAUUAAUUCGAUGCAACGCGAAGAACCUUACCAAGGCUUGACAUGAACCGGUAAUACCUGGAGACAGGUGCCCCGCUUGCGGUCGGUUUACAGGUGGUGCAUGGUUGUCGUCAGCUCGUGUCGUGAGAUGUUGGGUUAAGUCCCGCAACGAGCGCAACCCUCGUUCUAUGUUGCCAGCACGUGAUGGUGGGGACUCAUAGGAGACUGCCGGGGUCAACUCGGAGGAAGGUGGGGACGACGUCAAAUCAUCAUGGGGGCGGGUGUCUUGGGCUUCACGCAUGCUACAAUGGCCGGUACAAAGGGUUGCGAUACUGUGAGGUGGAGCUAAUCCCAAAAAGCCGGUCUCAGUUCGGAUUGGGGUCUGCAACUCGACCCCAU
RNAcentral lists this ribosomal RNA (1053 nucleotides) under Pseudarthrobacter polychromogenes. RNAcentral describes it as "bacterial SSU rRNA". It matches the Rfam family "Bacterial small subunit ribosomal RNA", at positions 258 to 1321 of the family's 1533-position model. Lineage: Bacteria; Bacillati; Actinomycetota; Actinomycetes; Micrococcales; Micrococcaceae. The record is from RNAcentral.